AUUGAACGCUGGCGGCAGGCCUAACACAUGCAAGUCGAGCGGAGCGGCGGACGGGUGAGUAAUGCCUAGGAAUCUGCCUGGUAGUGGGGGAUAACGUCCGGAAACGGGCGCUAAUACAGCAUACUAUCAGAUUAGCCAAGGUCGGAUUAGCUAGUGGGUGGGGUAAAGGCCUACCAAGGCGACGAACCGUAACUGGGCUGAGAGGAUGACCAGCCACACUGGAACUGAGACACGGUCCAGACUCCUACGGGAGGCAGCAGUGGGGAAUAUUGCACAAUGGGCUCAAGCCUGAUGCAGCCAUGCCGCGUGUAUGAAGAAGGCCUUCGGGUUGUAAAGUACUUUCAGCGGGGAGGCGUUACCCGCAGAAGAAGCACCGGCUAACUCCGUGCCAGCAGCCGCGGUAAUAC
This 407-nucleotide ribosomal RNA is filed under the name uncultured bacterium. RNAcentral describes it as "partial 16S ribosomal RNA". It matches the Rfam family "Bacterial small subunit ribosomal RNA", at positions 30 to 526 of the family's 1533-position model. The record is from RNAcentral.